GCCCGCCUAGCUCAGUCGGCAGAGCGCAAGGCCCUUAACCUUGUGGUCGUGGGUUCGAGCCCCACGGUGGGUG
Molecule: transfer RNA, 73 nt
Rfam family: tRNA
About the family: Transfer RNA (tRNA) molecules are approximately 80 nucleotides in length.
Source: Rfam